Molecule: long non-coding RNA, 659 nt
Organism: Oncorhynchus tshawytscha (Chinook salmon)
Lineage: Eukaryota; Metazoa; Chordata; Actinopteri; Salmoniformes; Salmonidae
Exons: 3
Source: RefSeq, a predicted model, not a curated record
CUGGGAUUCUCCAGGUCCAUGGCCCUGGUGCUGCUGUGGGUCCACCGCUCUGGCCAGGAGAGGAAGAGGAGUGUUAUAACGAGAGUCAGUGUGGGGACAAACCUGGGGCUGAUCCUGGAGUCAACGUGGGACCCUCUGAGGAAACACAGCCUCCUGGUCCAUCUCAGUGCGUUGACGACCAGUUGGGUGUUCCUGGAGUGGUAGUCUAUGACCAGUGGACAUCUCCCAUGAACCAGGCACCUCUUCAUGGAUCUUCAUUGAUUGAUUGAUUGACUGACAGAUUAAUUUAUGAUAGUAUCUCUACUGGAGACUGAAACAAGUGAUAAUAAAAGUUAACACAUAUGGUGAGAUGUCAGUUAAUAAUUGAGUGUGUCAUGUGACAGGGCUGUCAAAAAGAGAACACAGUUGAACCCACCCGUUACCAACCCAGUCAGAAAGUGAUUCUACACUCAUUUCACUCACACAUUACACUAUGUUUAGACUAGGGCCCUGUGUUUUGCACAAUCAUGUGACAUACUGUAGCAAGAUUUCGUCCUGUAUUUAAGCCUUAUCCAGAAAUGAGAAUUACACAAAAAAUGAAAGCGAUUGUCUAAUGAUGGUGCUGUAGAAUGUAACAUAAAAGAAAAGGUUUGAUGAAAAAGCUUUCAAUAAAGGUUCAA